UAUCGAUAAAACCUUUGAAAAGUAGAAUAAUGAUCGUCGCAACCAUAUUCGGGUUCGGGGGUCGAUUACGCAAUGGGAAGGUAUUAACACCCCUCACAUCUGUUGUACUCAAUGGGAAACUUUUAGUUUAAUUUGCGAUUUGAAUGUUAGGUUAUGUUGUUUGUUUUCUUCGAGUGAAUAAAGAUUGAAAGUAUAGAUGGAUGGAAACCUCAGAAGGGGGAAAAGGGAGGUUUUUUAUUAGUGUGCUCGCUAAGAUCUAGC
RNAcentral lists this long non-coding RNA (261 nucleotides) under Lathyrus oleraceus (garden pea). Its description in RNAcentral is "Pisum sativum (pea) long non-coding RNA (PSAT_LNC000358)". The record is from RNAcentral. Lineage: Eukaryota; Viridiplantae; Streptophyta; Magnoliopsida; Fabales; Fabaceae.